Molecule: ribosomal RNA, 254 nt
Filed under: uncultured bacterium
Lineage: Bacteria
Description: partial 16S ribosomal RNA
Rfam family: Bacterial small subunit ribosomal RNA
Source: RNAcentral
UACGGGGGGAGCAAGCGUUGUUCGGAUUUACUGGGCGUAAAGGGCGCGUAGGCGGUCAGCACAAGUCAGUUGUGAAAUCUCCGGGCUUAACUCGGAAAGGUCAACUGAUACUGUGCGACUAGAGUGCAGAAGGGGCAACUGGAAUUCUCGGUGUAGCGGUGAAAUGCGUAGAUAUCGAGAGGAACACCUGCGGCGACGGCGGGUUGCUGGGCUGACACUGACGCUGAUGCGCGAAAGCCAGGGGAGCGAACGGG